AUUGAACGCUGGCGGCAGGCCUAACACAUGCAAGUCGAGCGGAUGAAGGGAGCUUGCUCCUGGAUUCAGCGGCGGACGGGUGAGUAAUGCCUAGGAAUCUGCCUGGUAGUGGGGGAUAACGUCCGGAAACGGGCGCUAAUACCGCAUACGUCCUGAGGGAGAAAGUGGGUGAUCUUCGGACCUCACGCUAUCAGAUGAGCCUAGGUCGGAUUAGCUAGUUGGUGGGGUAAAGGCCUACCAAGGCGACGAUCCGUAACUGGUCUGAGAGGAUGAUCAGUCACACUGGAACUGAGACACGGUCCAGACUCCUACGGGAGGCAGCAGUGGGGAAUAUUGGACAAUGGGCGAAAGCCUGAUCCAGCCAUGCCGCGUGUGUGAAGAGGGUCUUCGGAUUGUAAAGCACUUUAAGUUGGGAGGAAGGGCAGUAAGUUAAUACCUUGCUGUUUUGACGUUACCAACAGAAUAAGCACCGGCUAACUUCGUG
Molecule: ribosomal RNA, 484 nt
Filed under: uncultured bacterium
Lineage: Bacteria
Description: partial 16S ribosomal RNA
Rfam family: Bacterial small subunit ribosomal RNA
Source: RNAcentral